GGCCGGCUGGCGCAAUGGUAGCGCAUCAGACUUCUACUUCGCGUCUGACGUGUAGUCAUCUGGGGUUGUGGGUUCGAGCCCCACGUUGGUCA
Molecule: non-coding RNA, 92 nt
Organism: Colletotrichum godetiae
Lineage: Eukaryota; Fungi; Ascomycota; Sordariomycetes; Glomerellales; Glomerellaceae
Source: the annotation of a RefSeq genome assembly